Molecule: ribosomal RNA, 494 nt
Filed under: uncultured bacterium
Lineage: Bacteria
Description: partial 16S ribosomal RNA
Rfam family: Bacterial small subunit ribosomal RNA
Source: RNAcentral
GACGAACGCUGGCGGCGUGCUUAACACAUGCAAGUCGAACGGUGAAGCGCCUUCCUUUUUGGUGGGUGUGGAUGAGUGGCGAACGGGUGAGUAACACGUGAGUAACCUGCCCCCUUCUUCUGGAUAACCGCAUGAAAGUGUGGCUAAUACGGGAUAUUCUGGGUCUGUCGCAUGAUGGGUCUGGGAAAGAUAUUGUUUCGGUGGGGGAUGGGCUCGCGGCCUAUCAGCUUGUUGGUGGGGUGAUGGCCUACCAAGGCGGUGACGGGUAGCCGGCCUGAGAGGGUGGACGGUCACACUGGGACUGAGACACGGCCCAGACUCCUGCGGGAGGCAGCAGUGGGGAAUAUUGCACAAUGGGCGCAAGCCUGAUGCAGCGACGCCGCGUGAGGGAUGGAGGCCUUCGGGUUGUGAACCUCUUUCGCCAGUGAAGCAGGCCUGCCUCGUUUGUGGGUGGGUUGACGGUAGCUGGAGAAGAAGCGCCGGCUAACUACGUG